RNAcentral lists this ribosomal RNA (465 nucleotides) under uncultured bacterium. RNAcentral describes it as "partial 16S ribosomal RNA". It matches the Rfam family "Bacterial small subunit ribosomal RNA", at positions 338 to 795 of the family's 1533-position model. The record is from RNAcentral.
CCUACGGGAGGCAGCAGUGGGGAAUUUUGGACAAUGGGCGCAAGCCUGAUCCAGCUAUUCCGCGUGUGGGAAGACGGCCUUCGGGUUGUAAACCAUUUUUGUAGAGGACGAAAAGUCUGUUGAUAAUACCGAUAGAUGAUGACGGUACUCUAAGAAUAAGCACCGGCUAACUACGUGCCAGCAGCCGCGGUAAUACGUAGGGUGCGAGCGUUAAUCGGAAUUACUGGGCGUAAAGGGUGUGCAGGCGGUUUUGCAAGAUGGAUGGUAAAGCCCCGGGCUUAACCUGGGAAAGCCAUACAUGACUGGAAGACUAGAGUGCGUCAGAGGUGGGUGGAAUGCCAGGUGUAGCAGUGAAAUGCGUAGAUAUUUGGAAGAACACCGAUGGCGAAGGCAGCCCCCUGGGACGCAACUGACGCUCAUACACGAAAGCGUGGGUAGCAAACAGGAUUAGAUACCCUAGUAGUC